RNAcentral lists this ribosomal RNA (440 nucleotides) under uncultured bacterium. RNAcentral's name for it is "partial 16S ribosomal RNA". It matches the Rfam family "Bacterial small subunit ribosomal RNA", at positions 338 to 795 of the family's 1533-position model. The record is from RNAcentral.
CCUACGGGAGGCAGCAGUAGGGAAUAUUGCUCAAUGGGGGAAACCCUGAAGCAGCAACGCCGCGUGGAGGAUGAAGGCUUUCGGAUUGUAAACUCCUUUUGUUAGAGAAGAUAAUGACGGUAUCUAACGAAUAAGCACCGGCUAACUCCGUGCCAGCAGCCGCGGUAAUACGGAGGGUGCAAGCGUUACUCGGAAUCACUGGGCGUAAAGAGCGCGUAGGCGGGAUAGCAAGUCAGAUGUGAAAUCCUAUGGCUAAACCAUAGAACUGCAUUUGAAACUGUUAUUCUAGAGUAUGGGAGAGGUAAGUGGAAUUCUUGGUGUAGGGGUAAAAUGCGUAGAGAUCAAGAGGAAUACUCAUUGCGAAGGCGACCUGCUAGAACAUAACUGACGCUGAUGCGCGAAAGCGUGGGGAGCAAACAGGAUUAGAUACCCUUGUAGUC